RNAcentral lists this long non-coding RNA (1970 nucleotides) under Podarcis lilfordi (Lilford's wall lizard). Lineage: Eukaryota; Metazoa; Chordata; Lepidosauria; Squamata; Lacertidae. The record is from RNAcentral.
CUGGUUUGCAGAGGUGUUCAAACAGAGUUCAGAGAGUGACAGCUGAGAUAGUCGUCUUUGUACCACGCACAAUGCGUGUAGCCAUUUGGCAACUUAUCUCUUGCCGCACCUAUAACAGUGUUUCCUUUCUAUUUCAGUCAGGUAAGGUAGAAAUAACCAUAACAACCAUGAUGGUGUCAUUCACUGAGCCAUUAUUAUUUUUUACAGGCAACAUUUCAUGGUUCCAGGGAGUCUUGUAAACAAUGGAAUGAAGGCCAAAGUAUACUUAGCUCCUUUUUAAACCAUGCUUAAAUGGUCUGCCUUUAUUUUAAAUGGGAAACAACCCUAGGGCCCCAAUCUAGGAUGUGCUUCCAAUCUGGUAUAGGAGCUCCAUGCCAGUUUCCUGCCAAAAAUUGCCCCCUCUUGGGUGCUCUUUGCACUCGAAAGUGCUGUUUCCUGUGAGUAACACCAGGGGGGCACGGGGGGGGGGGGACACAUAGCAACUGUGGAACAAUUAGCACAUUGUUCCUUUCAAGUCAGGGCUACACAGCUGCUUUUUCUUCAGAUAAAAGUGACUGAUUUAAGCAUGCUGUUUCAAAAAGUGUAAAUAAUGUUAGGGUGUGGUUUGGCUCUGAGUGUUUCAUGAUCAUUCACUGCUGUCAUGUCAUCUGUGCACAUUUAACAGCAAGAGGUGCCUGCCCUGACGAGCUUACCAUCUAAAUUUCAGUAACACAGAAGAACUAAUAACUGAAUUAUUUCAGUAAUGCAGAAGAGCAAGGGGAGAAGCCUAGACAACAGGGAGUGUGUAUAAUUCCUAUGGCACACACUUAAUAUUUGGGUCCCUCCAGACUUACUUUUUAUUGGGCAUUGAUGAUCAUGAUGUUCUUAGAGUGGUUAUAAGCUUUCAAUACAGUUUGUGCCUGCAAAAGUUUUUUAGGGGGGAUAUACUGCUUGGUUUCCCAUUGGUGCAUAUCCCAUAGGUUCCUGCUAAAAUCCUGUAGAUUUUUAUACCACAAAUCUUCCGGGGGUGUGCAUGUGUCUUCCUUUGUUACACGGUACUGGAAAACUGCACCUACAGAUGACAAUCAUGCAAUAACAUUGAGGAAGCAUGAGCAGAUGACUAAUAAAGUGGAAUGACAUGUCGAUGGCCCAGUAUAAAUUCACCACCACAUCCGUUACCAUUGCAUCAAUGACAUGUUUUAGAAUAUACCCCACUCCCAGUCACCUGGAGAACAGAAGUCUGGAAUGGCGCUUUGUUUUGAUUUGCACUAAGGAGGAAGGGCAAUGACAAACCUAGACAGCAUCUUAAAAAGCAGAGACAUCACCUUGCCAACAAAGGUCCGUAUGUAAAAGCUAUGGUUUUCCCAGUAGUGAUGUAUGGAAGUGAGAGCUGGACCAUAAAGAAGGCUGAUUGCCGAAGAAUUGAUGCUUUUGAAUGAUGGUGCUGGAGGAGACUCUUGAGAGUCCCAUGGACUGCAAGAAGAUCAAACCUAUCCAUUCUUAAGGAAAUCAGCCCUGAGUGCUCACUGGAAGGACAGAUCCUGAAGCUGAGGCUCCAAUACUUUGGCCACCUCAUGAGAAGAGAAGACUCCUGGAAAAGACCCUGAUGUUGGGAAAGAUGGAGGGCACAAGGAGAAGGGGACGACAGAGGACAAGAUGGUUGGAUAGUGUUCUCAAAGCUACCAGCAUGAGUUUGACCAAUCUGCGGGAGGCAGUGGAAGACAGGAGUGCCUGGCGUGCUCUGGUCCAUGGGGUCACGAAGAGUUGGACACGACUAAACGACUAAACAACAACAAAGGAGGAAGGAGUUAAACCAAAUAUUUCAUUUCCAACAACUACAUUCUGAUUAGCAACCGGAGUCACUUCAGGCAAGUAAUGUGAUUAUGAAUGAACCAUUUGCACAUCAGAAAGUUGUGGCAGUGUGGAAGCAAGAACUCCUGAGGAUCACAGUCUGCUGUAGCAACUCACAGUCAAACCAUUUUUAAAGCCCA